Molecule: ribosomal RNA, 274 nt
Filed under: uncultured bacterium
Lineage: Bacteria
Description: partial 16S ribosomal RNA
Source: RNAcentral
CUGCUGCCUCCCGUAGGAGUCUGGUCCGUGUCUCAGUACCAGUGUGGGGGACCUUCCUCUCAGAACCCCUACGCAUCGUCGCCUUGGUGGGCCGUUACCCCGCCAACAAGCUAAUGCGACGCAUGACCAUCCGUAGCCGGAAUCGCUUCCUUUAAACCCACAGAGGUGCCUCCAUGGGUUGUUACGCGGUAUUAGACGGAAUUUCUUCCGCUUAUCCCCCUGCUACGGGCAGGUUUCAUACGUGUUACUCACCCGUGCGCCGGUCGCCGGCGGG